Molecule: long non-coding RNA, 1342 nt
Filed under: Chrysemys picta bellii (western painted turtle)
Lineage: Eukaryota; Metazoa; Chordata; Testudines; Emydidae
Description: lncRNA (ENSCPBG00000010867.1)
Source: RNAcentral
UCCCCGGCCUGAGGGGUGCGUCACAGACUCUUACCAGCGCUCCCCGGCCUGAGGGGUGCAUCACAGACUCUUACUGGCACUCCCCUGCCUGAGGGGCACGUCACAGACUCUUGCCGGCACUCCCCUGUCUGAGGGGCGCAGCACUGAUUCCUACCGGCGCUCCCCUGCCUGAGGGGCGAGUCACUGAUUCCUACCGGUGUUCCCAGGCCUGAGGGACAUGCCCCGGACUCUGGCCGGUACUCCUGUGUCACGCUAACUGCGACGGCAUACCUCCCUCCACUAGUUCCCAGCCGAUGGAGAGGUGUGACCAAGGCCUUUCAGCGAGGCAGUAGCUACUCACUGCCCCCCAGCAGCUCAGUGGACCAACUGAGACCUCACUACAAGGAGGAAGGAAGACAAAAGAAUCCUGACUGUCUAUCCAAGAGCAAAAGACCUUCCUGUGCGUUUCUGUGUUUAUUUAGCUGGCUUUUCCAGUCUGUUCUGAUCUUGUGGACUGUGGAUCACCCUGUCUGGGUACUCUGCAAAGUUACACUGGAGCUGCUUGUCUCAGAACUGGGGAGUUGCUUCAUCCUUUGCAGAAAGGAUAUGGCACAUAUUUAUACCUGCUCACUGGGAUAGUCAUUCUGACUCUGUUCCCACCAAUAGCCAUGGGACCAAUGCAGAUUUACUACUGAGGACCUUGGUGUAUGUGCCAAAAAAUAGCAGCACCGAUGAGUAACUUCUAAAUGUGCCUUUGUUUGGGCCAGACGCUGGAACUGACAUAAAUUACAAUCCUGGCUGAUGGCUGGGCUCGUUUUGUCCUGGUCACUGAGUCAGUGGUAGAGGAGGAAAUAGAAUCCAGGUCUCUUGACUCUUAGAACCAAUGUCUGACCCCCAACUACAGACCUUUUCUGCUGUUCCAGUGGUGUCCUAGGGGUGGAAUGGAGCUGUGGGAAUUCCACCAGCUAAGCCGCAGCACAGACUGGAUUAAUGGGAACUGGACAGUCCAUAGUCAGCUUUCAGAAUCCCAGCCGGAGCUGUCCGGCUGCUGCAGGUUGAUGUCUAAACCUAAUAUUUAUUUAAAGCUGGAUUUUUUGUAUUGUAUUUGAAAUAUUCCCCCCUGCCCUGUUUUGGAGAAGAUGCCAACUUGGCUGAGCUAAACAUGCCUCCCGCAUUAUUGAUUUGUCAUACACAGCCUGCUUCAGAGGAACCUAAUCAGGAACACAUCAGCCAGUUUAUAUACCAGAUACUGGGAGAGGCUGAGAGGCUGCAUUGGUGGAGCAGAGCCGGGAGUGCCGCCAGCUUUUCUGCUGCCCUAGGCGGCAGAAGGUCCUGCCCCGAAACGCCGCCCCCCACAGAGGCG